UGUUCCUUUGAGCUAACCUUGCAGUAUUAUAUGGAUUUGAGAAGGAUGUUAAUUUUAUGGAGUUAGUUGCCUGCACUUCUUCUUCUGCAUUUCCAUAAUCUUCUUCUGCUGCUGCAAUUUGGUUGUAUCCUUCAAAUCUGUGGACUCUCUGCCAGGCUAUUCCGGCAAUCUUCCCUUCAAGCUCGAGACUGGGUACAUUGAUGUUGGGGAAUAUGAGGAUGUGCAACCAUUCUACAAGAACUUAGUUGAGUCUGCAAAGAAUGCUGCAAAAGACCCUUUGAUGCUUUGGUUAACCGGUGGCCUUGAGUGUUCCGCCCUCUCUAACCUUGCCUACGAAAAUAAAAACCUAUUGAAGCACAAAGAAAGAGUCAAUAACGCCUCUACUAAGAUGCCACAACAAAGCCGCUUGACCACAAGGACUUUGGAUAUACAGCAAUGUAUUAUCUUGAGCAUUGUCUAUUUAUUGCCAUACAAUAUAAAGAAAAACUUCUUAUUUUGAAUAAAAACAAAAAUCGAAAAGGA
Ipomoea triloba (trilobed morning glory) is the source of this 522-nucleotide long non-coding RNA. RefSeq lists it as uncharacterized. The transcript is spliced from 2 exons. The record is from RefSeq and is a predicted model, not a curated record. NCBI's taxonomy places the organism in Eukaryota, Viridiplantae, Streptophyta, Magnoliopsida, Solanales, Convolvulaceae.